This 30-nucleotide non-coding RNA is filed under the name Rattus norvegicus (Norway rat). Lineage: Eukaryota; Metazoa; Chordata; Mammalia; Rodentia; Muridae. The record is from RNAcentral.
UGGUACACAAUUUCGGUUUCGUUGCACAGA